AAUUAACGUUAGCUAGCUAACGCUAAUAUGGAAAGCUAUUAUAGGCAACAAAGGCAUCAAUGCAAACAAACACUUUUCUGUUGGGCAGUGGGUGACCAUCAGCGUGUUUCCUGAGGUAUCAUUAGGAUGCUGGACGUCUGCCUGCCGAUUCACAACCAGAAGUUGGUUCAUACUCACAGACUUCAGCAGAGCGCAGAUCCUCGAGGCCUUUUACAGCACAGGAGAAGCUUUCAGCAGCGGUGCUGGGAACUACAAACUUUGGUUUCUCAACUACAUGUCUGCUCUUAUACCAUAUAAAGGCAGUCAGAGGACAGCUUGUGUUACAGGUCAGUGUGACAUGGCCCGGUUCAGCUGCAGGACUCCUUUGAACAUGUACUUCUGUUGGGGGAUGAC
Sander lucioperca (pikeperch) is the source of this 393-nucleotide long non-coding RNA. RefSeq lists it as uncharacterized. The transcript has 3 exons. NCBI's taxonomy places the organism in Eukaryota, Metazoa, Chordata, Actinopteri, Perciformes, Percidae. The record is from RefSeq and is a predicted model, not a curated record.